This is a long non-coding RNA of Humulus lupulus (European hop), 1102 nucleotides long. RefSeq lists it as uncharacterized. The record is from RefSeq and is a predicted model, not a curated record. NCBI's taxonomy places the organism in Eukaryota, Viridiplantae, Streptophyta, Magnoliopsida, Rosales, Cannabaceae. The transcript is spliced from 2 exons.
AAUAGAGUCAUUAGAUUUCGAUUUAUGAGAUCUGGUGAGACUAUUAGCAAGUCUUUUCACAAUGUGUUACAUUCAAUCAUUCGACUACAUGGAGCGUUAUUGAAAAGACCUGAACUGGUUGUUGAAAACUCAACAGAUGAAAGGUGGAAAUGGUUCAAGAAUUGCUUAGGGGCACUAGAUGGAACUCAUAUUAGAGUGAGAGUACCUAUGGCUGAUAAACCAAAAUAUCGUACUCGAAAAGGUGAAAUAGCUACAAAUGUCUUAGGUGUAUGCUCCCAAGACAUGCAAUUCAUAUAUGUGUUACUUGGAUGGGAAGGCUCUGUAGCAGAUGGUAGAGUUUUACGUGAUGCCAUACGUAGAACAAAUGGUUUGUGUGUUCCAAAUGGUAUGCUUUGUGUUUUAGAUUAUAUAUUUUUUUUGGAUAAGUAAGUCAUUUAGGAGACAACUUAAUCCUUAUCUUUAUUUUAUUUUAGGUUAUUAUUACCUUGUAGAUGGUGGAUAUACUAAUUGUAAGGGAUUUCUUGCUCCAUAUCGAGGCCAACGCUAUCACCUCAACCAAUGGGAAGAUGGGAAUCCUCCCAGAAAUCCACAAGAGUUUUUUAAUAUGAAGCACUCAUCUGCUAGGAAUGUCAUUGAGAGAUGUUUUGGUGCAAUUAAGAAUCGAUGGGCAAUUCUUAGGAGUCAGUCAUUCUAUCCAAUAAAGACUCAAAACCGAAUCAUUUUAGCAUGUUGUUUGCUUCACAAUUUUAUUAGGAGAGAAAUGCCUACUGAUAAUACUGAUAUGCAUCCAGAGAAUGAGAGUGAUAGUGGAGACGAAGAAGAUAUCAUGGAUGCUGAUGGAUCCAUAAGAAGUAUUGAAGCUUCUGAAGGGUGGACAACAUUUAGAAAUCAUUUAGCACUUGAGAUGUAUAACGAAUGGAGAGAACAUAGGAGAGCAAGCUAGUUUUUUUUAUUUCUUAGAUUAAAUGCACAAUGAUUGUCUAGGUUUCUAAAUUUGGUUUCACUUGGCUAUGCCAAUUCAUUUGACUGUUUGUGUAAUUGACCACCCAAAAAACUUAUAUCACUUGCUUUGAAAUGGAAAAUUUAUCUUUAAAUUUAUGUU